This 1822-nucleotide long non-coding RNA is filed under the name Calidris pugnax (ruff). RNAcentral describes it as "lncRNA (ENSCPUG00000004015.1)". The record is from RNAcentral. Lineage: Eukaryota; Metazoa; Chordata; Aves; Charadriiformes; Scolopacidae.
UGGCAGCCUAUAAAAAUGUCCCUACUCGGCGCAGGCAGGAACCAGGUUACACUUCUUAUAAGGCAGCUGAAGCCUAUAGAUCACAGAAAAAAAAAAAUCUGGGGAAAAACAUCUUCUCUGGGAGAUAGCCACUAAGAUCACCUUGCACAGAAGUAUUUCUAACUUUUUUGGUUUUUUUUUUUUUUUUUUUCCUGAUAGUAUUCCCAGUUGGACCAACAGCAUCUGAAUUUGCUGGGAUUAUGAGGAAGACAAAGUAUUCCUGGGGAGCCUUCGCAGGAAGAGGCAGCAAGUUGGCUGGGGAAAACACAAGGAUGCUUCCCAAGACUGUGCAUGAGGAGAGAAAGAAGCAGGAAGCCAAGAGGAGAGGGAAGCUGAAAACCGUGGCAGGAAAAUUGCUGAAGGCCGUGGCUGGUGGUAAAGAGGCAGUGGAGGAGAAGGCCAGCAGUGAGGAUGUGGCAGGGAAUUUGCUGAAGAUGGCAACCAGCAGGAAGGAAGUGGAGGGAGAGACACCUGCAGAGGAAACCAUCUGUGGAUUCAUUGAGCAAGGAAAAUUUUUUGAAGCUUGUGAUCGUAUUUAUGAUCUGGAGCAUUCUGGAAAUGAUGGUGUGGGAAAGUCUGAAUCACUUUAUACGCUGCUGGCUGAACGAAUGUGGACUGUGGUGGGAGAAGCACUCCGUGGAAGUGGUGGGAUGUUCCUGGAGCCGUUGCAGUCAGUGGGGGAAUCGCUGAAGUGGGAGAAGCAGAAGGAAGCAGAGUGGCUUGGCAGCAGCCAAGAGACGGAGUCUGUUUCCACCUGGAGUCCAAACUUCUGGAGGAAAGAUCUGGAGGAAAAGCUAAUACAUUAUAUAACAGCCCAGAUUCCCCCCUUUGGUUCCUGUAGUAACACAGAUGAGGCUGCACUGAAACAGCACCUGAGUCAGCUGGAAAUGACGUUUAUCCCCAGCCUGGAGCACAGAAGUGGUUUCUUCAAGGAAGCAGGACUGCUCGUCACCUACACCCACUGCUGUCAUGCCUCUUUGUCUUCUCACCUUUCCACACUUACUGACAGUAGCAAUUUCAGCUUCAGCCAAUGCCUUUUAGUUUAUGAAUGGGGCCUUAAAAUGUACAAAAGCAGCAGCGAGACAUGUCUGGGACCCAGGCAAACCCCCCAGCACAACCUUUCCUUUGGUGUACAGUGUCUCAUGUGGAUUAUUUUGAAGACUGAGGAAAAGUUACUUGCAGCCACCCGGAAGGAAGUAGGGAAAGCCCUGAAAGAAGCCUUUGAUAUCGGGAAACCCCCUUGUGCAGAUGCUGCAGUCAUUCAGAUUCUGACAGAGAAGACAGAGGCUGCCUGGCGUGUCAGUGAGAGCCUGAGUGAGAAGGUGGAAGCUGUGUGCCUGGAGGAGUGCCUGAAGUUCCUGGACAGCUACCAAAAUGAAGUACGAAGCUCUCUCCAGCUCAACAGCUGCCCUGGGAUCUGCAGCAGCUUACGAAUCCUGGAGAACUGCUGUAUUCUCAGGACUGUCUGGCAUAAGCUGACAUACAUUUGCAGUGCCAGCACUGGGCAGGAUGUUAAGGUAAAUGGAUUUCUAGACAGGAUGGAAGAUGAGAUUACGGAGCAUUUUCUGCAGACAGUCACUUCUAAAGUCAAGGGAACACUGAAGGAGCACUUCAAAAAGUGUGACAGUGGUUUUGACCACAUCCUUGAAUCCUUAAAGCAAAGCUUUUUGGCAUUUGGGAAGAAAAAAACAGACACGUAUGAGGUAAGAAAUAAGUAAGAAAGUAAGAAUAAGAUAUUACUCAGGAAAUCACUAAAACUAGUCCUUGAACCUCUGGAUGGCAC